RNAcentral lists this ribosomal RNA (769 nucleotides) under uncultured Streptococcus sp. RNAcentral's name for it is "bacterial SSU rRNA". It matches the Rfam family "Bacterial small subunit ribosomal RNA", at positions 67 to 823 of the family's 1533-position model. Lineage: Bacteria; Bacillati; Bacillota; Bacilli; Lactobacillales; Streptococcaceae. The record is from RNAcentral.
CUGAAGGAGGAGCUUGCUUCUCCGGAUGAGUUGCGAACGGGUGAGUAACGCGUAGGUAACCUGCCUGGUAGCGGGGGAUAACUAUUGGAAACGAUAGCUAAUACCGCAUAAUAGUAGAUGUUGCAUGACAUUUACUUAAAAGGUGCAAUUGCAUCACUACCAGAUGGACCUGCGUUGUAUUAGCUAGUUGGUGGGGUAACGGCUCACCAAGGCGACGAUACAUAGCCGACCUGAGAGGGUGAUCGGCCACACUGGGACUGAGACACGGCCCAGACUCCUACGGGAGGCAGCAGUAGGGAAUCUUCGGCAAUGGACGGAAGUCUGACCGAGCAACGCCGCGUGAGUGAAGAAGGUUUUCGGAUCGUAAAGCUCUGUUGUAAGAGAAGAACGAGUGUGAGAGUGGAAAGUUCACACUGUGACGGUAUCUUACCAGAAAGGGACGGCUAACUACGUGCCAGCAGCCGCGGUAAUACGUAGGUCCCGAGCGUUGUCCGGAUUUAUUGGGCGUAAAGCGAGCGCAGGCGGUUAGAUAAGUCUGAAGUUAAAGGCUGUGGCUUAACCAUAGUACGCUUUGGAAACUGUUUAACUUGAGUGCAAGAGGGGAGAGUGGAAUUCCAAGUGUAGCGGUGAAAUGCGUAGAUAUAUGGAGGAACACCGGUGGCGAAAGCGGCUCUCUGGCUUGUAACUGACGCUGAGGCUCGAAAGCGUGGGUAGCAAACAGGAUUAGAUACCCUGGUAGUCCACGCCGUAAACGUUGGGCGCUAGACGU